This 253-nucleotide ribosomal RNA is filed under the name uncultured bacterium. RNAcentral's name for it is "partial 16S ribosomal RNA". It matches the Rfam family "Bacterial small subunit ribosomal RNA", at positions 524 to 776 of the family's 1533-position model. The record is from RNAcentral.
UACGUAGGGGGCGAGCGUUGUCCGGAGUUACUGGGCGUAAAGCGCACGCAGGCGGUCUGCUAAGUUUGGAGUGACAGUUAGUGGCUUAACUGCCAAAGUGCUUCGAAAACUGACAGACUUGAGGGCUUCAGAGGGACACGGAAUUCCGGGUGGAGUGGUGAAAUGCGUAGAGAUCCGGAGGAACACCAAAGGCGAAGGCAGUGUCCUGGGGAGUACCUGACGCUCAGGUGCGAAAGCCAGGGGAGCGAACGGG